Syzygium oleosum is the source of this 467-nucleotide long non-coding RNA. RefSeq lists it as uncharacterized. The transcript has 2 exons. Lineage: Eukaryota; Viridiplantae; Streptophyta; Magnoliopsida; Myrtales; Myrtaceae. The record is from RefSeq and is a predicted model, not a curated record.
CAUGAUUAAAUCGUGUUCAUCAUCCUAAAAGAAGAGGUGAGGUCGUCUUCUUCGCUCGGGAACCCUAGGUCCAUGCCUGAGAGAGCAAGACCUCCAUGGCUGGACUUCUCCGCGGCUCGUCGCUGCUCCUACGUCACCUUUGCCGCAAGGACAACAUGAUCGCCAGCCUUCAAGUACUUCUUGGAGGCUGAAGAAUGGUGUGUGGAAGCUGGUUUAGAGCGUAAGGCUCUGAUACCAUGUAAAAAUAUGGCUUGAUGGAAAGCUGGGCGGAGGAAAAUUGGACAAAAUGUGUAUAUUGCUUUAUCAUACUGAAAACUAUAUGAGUACAUCCCUAUUUAUAAUACAUGGAGCCUAAUUAAUCCAGGAAUGAAAUAUACAGAAAAAUCAAGUGCCUGAUGUACAGUAUGCCAAUACAUUAAUAAAGGGCAAUCGUAUCAAUUUAUGAUAUCAACAAUAUUUUCAUCAUA